GCUUGCUCUCGGGUGACGAGUGGCGGACGGGUGAGUAAUGUCUGGGAAACUGCCUGAUGGAGGGGGAUAACUACUGGAAACGGUAGCUAAUACCGCAUAACGUCGCAAGACCAAAGAGGGGGACCUUCGGGCCUCUUGCCAUCAGAUGUGCCCAGAUGGGAUUAGCUAGUAGGUGGGGUAACGGCUCACCUAGGCGACGAUCCCUAGCUGGUCUGAGAGGAUGACCAGCCACACUGGAACUGAGACACGGUCCAGACUCCUACGGGAGGCAGCAGUGGGGAAUAUUGCACAAUGGGCGCAAGCCUGAUGCAGCCAUGCCGCGUGUAUGAAGAAGGCCUUCGGGUUGUAAAGUACUUUCAGCGGGGAGGAAGGUGUUGAGGUUAAUAACCUNNNCAAUUGACGUUACCCGCAGAAGAAGCACCGGCUAACUCCGUGCCAGCAGCCGCGGUAAUACGGAGGGUGCAAGCGUUAAUCGGAAUUACUGGGCGUAAAGCGCACGCAGGCGGUCUGUCAAGUCGGAUGUGAAAUCCCCGGGCUCAACCUGGGAACUGCAUUCGAAACUGGCANGCNGGAGUCUUGUANAGGGGGGUAGANNUCCNNUGUNNGGUGAAAUGCGUANNAUCUGGAGGAAUACCNGUGGCGANNCGGCNCCCUGNANAAANANAGANGCUCNNGUGCNANAGCNUGNGGAGCANANAGGANNANAUAC
Molecule: ribosomal RNA, 709 nt
Filed under: Kosakonia sp.
Lineage: Bacteria; Pseudomonadati; Pseudomonadota; Gammaproteobacteria; Enterobacterales; Enterobacteriaceae
Description: partial 16S ribosomal RNA
Rfam family: Bacterial small subunit ribosomal RNA
Source: RNAcentral